RNAcentral lists this ribosomal RNA (1465 nucleotides) under Streptococcus thermophilus. RNAcentral's name for it is "bacterial SSU rRNA". It matches the Rfam family "Bacterial small subunit ribosomal RNA". The record is from RNAcentral. Lineage: Bacteria; Bacillati; Bacillota; Bacilli; Lactobacillales; Streptococcaceae.
GGCGGCGUGCCUAAUACAUGCAAGUAGAACGCUGAAGAGAGGAGCUUGCUCUUCUUGGAUGAGUUGCGAACGGGUGAGUAACGCGUAGGUAACCUGCCUUGUAGCGGGGGAUAACUAUUGGAAACGAUAGCUAAUACCGCAUAACAAUGGAUGACACAUGUCAUUUAUUUGAAAGGGGCAAUUGCUCCACUACAAGAUGGACCUGCGUUGUAUUAGCUAGUAGGUGAGGUAAUGGCUCACCUAGGCGACGAUACAUAGCCGACCUGAGAGGGUGAUCGGCCACACUGGGACUGAGACACGGCCCAGACUCCUACGGGAGGCAGCAGUAGGGAAUCUUCGGCAAUGGGGGCAACCCUGACCGAGCAACGCCGCGUGAGUGAAGAAGGUUUUCGGAUCGUAAAGCUCUGUUGUAAGUCAAGAACGGGUGUGAGAGUGGAAAGUUCACACUGUGACGGUAGCUUACCAGAAAGGGACGGCUAACUACGUGCCAGCAGCCGCGGUAAUACGUAGGUCCCGAGCGUUGUCCGGAUUUAUUGGGCGUAAAGCGAGCGCAGGCGGUUUGAUAAGUCUGAAGUUAAAGGCUGUGGCUCAACCAUAGUUCGCUUUGGAAACUGUCAAACUUGAGUGCAGAAGGGGAGAGUGGAAUUCCAUGUGUAGCGGUGAAAUGCGUAGAUAUAUGGAGGAACACCGGUGGCGAAAGCGGCUCUCUGGUCUGUAACUGACGCUGAGGCUCGAAAGCGUGGGGAGCGAACAGGAUUAGAUACCCUGGUAGUCCACGCCGUAAACGAUGAGUGCUAGGUGUUGGAUCCUUUCCGGGAUUCAGUGCCGCAGCUAACGCAUUAAGCACUCCGCCUGGGGAGUACGACCGCAAGGUUGAAACUCAAAGGAAUUGACGGGGGCCCGCACAAGCGGUGGAGCAUGUGGUUUAAUUCGAAGCAACGCGAAGAACCUUACCAGGUCUUGACAUCCCGAUGCUAUUUCUAGAGAUAGAAAGUUACUUCGGUACAUCGGUGACAGGUGGUGCAUGGUUGUCGUCAGCUCGUGUCGUGAGAUGUUGGGUUAAGUCCCGCAACGAGCGCAACCCCUAUUGUUAGUUGCCAUCAUUCAGUUGGGCACUCUAGCGAGACUGCCGGUAAUAAACCGGAGGAAGGUGGGGAUGACGUCAAAUCAUCAUGCCCCUUAUGACCUGGGCUACACACGUGCUACAAUGGUUGGUACAACGAGUUGCGAGUCGGUGACGGCGAGCUAAUCUCUUAAAGCCAAUCUCAGUUCGGAUUGUAGGCUGCAACUCGCCUACAUGAAGUCGGAAUCGCUAGUAAUCGCGGAUCAGCACGCCGCGGUGAAUACGUUCCCGGGCCUUGUACACACCGCCCGUCACACCACGAGAGUUUGUAACACCCGAAGUCGGUGAGGUAACCUUUUGGAGCCAGCCGCCUAAGGUGGGACAGAUGAUGGGGGAAGUCGA